CGGCUUUAUUAUCCGUGCUAUUACAAUGUUACAAUGUAUCUUGUCAUGUAAUUGAAAGUGUCCACCUCUCGCUACAUUGAUCAGUUACUUGUUUGCAAAUGUGUUACUUUGUUACAAAUCUAGUGUUACUGUUGCUGUUUAGAAUCAAUGUGUCGUUCUAAGAAUCUGUUCUAGAAAAAAGCUUGUGCAAUCUCAUUUAUCUGUCCACAUUUUAUUUAGUUGUGUGCUUUUUAUAAGUUAUAUAUGGACCACAAUUAGAAACCUUCUAAUAGAUGAUUUAGCUUUUCUGGUCUGCUUAUUGUCAAGCCAUGUACAUGGUUAGGAAUGCCACUGUGCUACGGGUUUUUUUUGUUUUGACACUUCAAUGUUCUGCUUUGCUUCACCUCACAUGGACCAGGCUGCCUAGCCAUGUGCGGAUGCUUCUCGACUCUCACUGCUCAUUGGUCGAAAAGAGGCUGUAACGCAAUCAUUGCAUAAAUCUGCACGGAGUCCAAGCUCGAGGGCGGUAUGCAGGUCCAUGUGAGACUGAAGGAGGCAAUUUUGGUGCCCUAGAUUUGCUCUCUUUUAGACAUGACAGCUCCACAUGUGGGUGGGUUUUGGAAGCGAAUAGUUGUAGCUGGUUAGCUAAUCAUGGCCAGGUCUUCGAGACCAUUAACGACAUUUAGGGCUACAUAGUAUAAUAUAUUAAUUUAUGUUGAUUUUGUUUCUGAGCCUCCUGUACACCAAGCAACAGGUGUAUUAUUUUCCUAGCUGGGCUUAUUUAGCCCAUAUUUAAGCAUUUGGUUUAAUGUCAACCUUCUUAUGUAAUAACGUGAUUUAACACCAGUGACUACAAGAAUAACUUUGCUUUUGCCAGUGUAACCGAUGUGAAAUGGCUAGUUAGUUAAGGUAGUGCGCGCUAAUAGAGUUUCAACCGGGUGACGUCACUCGCUCUGAGACCUGAAGUAGUUGUUGUCCUUGCUCUGCAAGGGCCGCGGCUUUUGUGACGCGAUGGGUAACGAUGCUUCGUGGGUGUCAGUUGUUGAUGUGGGUUCCAACCCAGGUUGGGGCGAGGAGAGGGACGGAAGCUAUACUGUUACACCAGAAAGUAAAAAGUAUGUUAUAGUAUUGUGCCCUAUCAAGCAAAAGAACUGCUCAUAAAUGGAAACUUAGAAAAAUGACUUCAGCGUUUUUUAAUUGUCGAGCCAAAUGAAUUGUAGUCAGAUCAUUGGAGAUUAACUGUUGUCUUUUUUCCAGUUUAUUUUGUAUUCAUAUUGACCCUGAGCUCUGACAUUAUCUGGCAGUUACUGUCUUGUUGCUUGGUACACCCACUGGAAUCACGAUUUAUUUUUACAACGCAAACUUGUGUUCAUACAUUUAUUUGUAUGUGGCUGUCAGUGUCAGAUAGUUUGAUACUUGUUUCAACAAACAACAAUAAAUAAUGCCAAGGUAAACCAUAGUAACUACAGCCUAAAGCUUAGUGAUUCAAGGUAAAAAGCAGUAACUGAGGUGAGCGAUUGCAUUUACUGCUUUUUUCUUUGGUUUCACUAACUUUUACCAGCCACAGCAAACAUGAAGUCCCAUUUUAUCAGAAACACAUUUUGUCCACAUGAUAGAUCAUGAUAGAUCAUGUCCAGUUACUGCUCUUUUGCUUUGUAGAGGGCAGUAUUAUUCAAUAUAAUAUAUUAUAGAAGAACUGAGAAACCCAACCCCCAAAUAAAUAAAAUAAGUGCAUACAAAUGAUUACAGAAACACAUUAUUUUUCACAUUACACUGUAGUGUCAUGUUUUGAUGGUACACCAUUAACCCUCUAUGGCAUAGAGUUGCCCUCAGGCAACAAACUACCUUUUUGGACCUCACACCACCCCUUGAAUUUUUUUAAUAAAAAAUAAUAUAUAUGAUAUCACCUGACAUGUCUGUGUCCAAUGAAAUGAGGGGCUGAAGUGAGUGUGGCCUUUUGUCUGGGGGUGGAGCAGUCCUUUCAGGAAGCAAAGCCGCAUGGCACACAGUGCCACCAAUUGGAGAAUGCCUGUCUGUUGACAAUGAGACUGUGUCUGAGGAUGAGGAUGAAGAUGUAGCAGAGGUUGAUCUUCCACGCCUACCCCGGAGGAGAACACCCCACAAUGCAUACUUCAAUGCUUACCCAGAAUGGCAGGGCCUGCUUUCAAGAUCUGAUGAUAUCAGUACUUCAUCCAGUUUUUCUCUGAAGACAUUCUGGAAGUUAUUGUAGGGCAGUCAAAUCUAUAUGCGAUACAAUGUAACGCAAACAAGCCCCUUAACCUCACCUGCAAAAGAAUUGGAGCAGUUCCUGGGUAUUAUGGUGUACAUGUCAUUGUUUGGUUUACCAGGCACCCGCAUGUUUUGGAACAAAGCUUGCCGAGUGUCCCAAGUAGCUGUGACCAUGAUACUGAAUAGAUGGGAGGCCAUCAAAAAAUUCCUGAGGUUGACAGGUGGGAUCGCAAGCGAAAGAUGAUCACAAGUCCCCUGCCCUGCUGUGGUGAAAGAAUAUAACAAGAAUAUGGGUGGGGUGGAUCUGCUUGAAUCACUGAUUGCACUGUACCGGAACAAAAUCAGUUCAAAGAAGUGGUACCACAGGCUGGUGUUCCACUUCCUGGAUAUGAUCAUCGUGACCAUCUGGCUGCUCUACUGAAGAGAUUGUGAAGGCACUGGCAUGAGAAAGAAGGAACAAAUGAAGCUGUAUACCUUCAAGUUAUACAUCGCUGAAGGCCUAUGCAAAAGUGGAAAGACUCUGGAGCCCAAGAAAGGUCGUCCCAGUUCCACAAUUGCUGGUGAGUAUGAGGAGAAGAGGAGAAAAGGACCCGUUGCUCCAAUUCCAGUCCCUGAUGUGGGCCUGGAUGCCACAGCCCACUGGAUGAUUAUGGCUGAAAAGAAGGGGAGAUGCAAGGUACCAGGGUGCACAGGUACACCAAAAGCCAAGUGCCAGAAAUGUGAUGUCCACCUCUGUUUCACAUCCACCAGAAAUGUGAUGUCCACCUCUGUUUCACAUCCACCAGCAACUGCUUCCUGAGGUUCCAAACAGAAUCGGAAAUCAGAGUGUGCUUUGUCAAAAAGAGAAACACCGAUUCAAACAUUAACCCACACAAACACACAUUCAGAAACACUGAAACACACUCGCACAUACAGGCUAACCCCUCCAAACACACACAUACACACCACACACACACACAGUCAUUUGGAUGUUGGUUUAUAUGAAAAGUGAGAAACAUUUAUACAUGAGGUGUUAGUUGUAAUUAGUAGUAGUUUGUUUAUUUGAUUCUUGAUGUUUUGACUUUAAAGCUUCUAAUUGUGAUUGGUUGUAACUAUUUGUGGUUGAUGUUUGUCUAAAUAAAACUCGUUCUAAUUCA
This is a long non-coding RNA of Salmo salar (Atlantic salmon), 3344 nucleotides long. RefSeq lists it as uncharacterized. The record is from RefSeq and is a predicted model, not a curated record. Lineage: Eukaryota; Metazoa; Chordata; Actinopteri; Salmoniformes; Salmonidae.